This 790-nucleotide ribosomal RNA is filed under the name Meloidogyne graminicola. RNAcentral's name for it is "eukaryotic LSU rRNA". The stretch from base 1 to 189 matches the Rfam family "Eukaryotic small subunit ribosomal RNA", at positions 1641 to 1831 of the family's 1831-position model. The record is from RNAcentral. Lineage: Eukaryota; Metazoa; Nematoda; Chromadorea; Rhabditida; Meloidogynidae.
UUGAUUACGUCCCUGCCCUUUGUACACACCGCCCGUCGCUGCCCGGGACUGAGCCAUUUCGAGAAAUUUGGGGACCGUUGAUUAAACAUUUAUUUGUUUUUUUGAUGGAAACCAAUUUAAUCGCAGUGGCUUGAACCGGGCAAAAGUCGUAACAAGGUAGCUGUAGGUGAACCUGCUGCUGGAUCAUUACUUUUUAUGUAAUGCUUUACAUUUGAAUUUAUCGCAUCAUUUUAUUUGAUGUGUAACGGCUCUCACUGGUGUCUAGGUGUUGCUGAUUCAGCUGUCUUCGUCCGUGGCUGAAUAUGAGGUGACAUGUUAGGAUUCUAUUGAAUCGUAAGACUUAAUGAGCCUCUUAAGUGAGGACGCCAGCAAUUUUUUUUUUCAAUAAAUUUUUUUUUAAAAGACAUUAAUAAAAAUUAACCUUACCGGUGGAUCACUCGGUUCGUGGAUCGAUGAAGAACGCAGCUAACUGCGAUAAUUUAUGCGAACUGCAGAAACCUUGAGCAUAAAAGUUUUGAACGCAUAUUGCGGCAUUGGGGUCAAACCCUUUGGCACGUCUGGUUCAGGGUCAUUUUCUAACAAAGCGAAAGCUUUUAUUUUUAUAAUGUCAUUCAUUGACUUUAUAAAUGAAAAAUGUUUUAUUGGUUUUUUUACUUGAAUUAAUAUUAACCAAUAAAUAUUAUAUUUAUUUUUGACCUGAACUCAGUCGAGAUCACCCGCUGAACUUAAGCAUAUCAGUAAGCGGAGGAAAAGAAACUAAACAGGAUUCCCUUAGUAACGGCGAGUGAAA